AAUAUGCCAUGUGAGGAAGAUCGUGUGAAAAAAACUUAAACAAAAUGAAAGAAAAUCAUUGGACUAAUGCUUUGGAUUGAGAGCUGAGACCCAGUUAGUUAUUUGUUUAUAUUCAUUACUUAUUAAAAACAUCUCAGCUUUUUAGUGCUAGUUGUGCGAGCUCGACUUGCACAACCGUUGACGUUACCAUACACAAUCAGCCCACUUUGUAACUGUUUAUGAACCAACAUCAAGCGAUGCAAAACAAAAAUGCAAGAGGACAAAAAAAGAAAGAACCAGAACAACAAAGAAAACCACGCACCGCAUUAAGGGGUGAGUGCGAGAGGGAGACUGCAGUUCUUGUGCUCCCCCUUUGCUCCACUUGUAAAUGUGUCAAGUGAGCUUGACUCUCUUCCACUUAUGUACAUACAAGUACACACAUAAUUCACAUACGUGCAGGUGUGCUGUAAAUGUGAGAGCGUGAGAGAGUUAAUCAGCGGAAUUAAAAUCGCGUGCAGCCGUAAACAAGUCAAGUGUUAGAGAGGAAAGGGGGAUCGUCACAUUCAAUUUAACGGUUAAUCAGUAGACAGCACACAAACAACAACGCGGCAUGGAAACAGCACUGGAAAAACAAAUCAAUCGAGAGGUGCAAACAAUUGGCAACCCAAAUAUAAAUAGUCAUUUCCCGAUUAAACUGCCUGGUGAUGAAAAUUAAUACAGCAAUUUCGCUCAGCCUUCAGUCUGGAAUAAUAGUCAUUAAGCCGAGCCUAUCAACUGUUGGCUGCAAUACAAAAUAACAAUCCCACAAAGUGUCGUGUCAUUAUGCAAGCCCCCGGCAUUUUGGACUGGAAGUGGGCGGAAAUAGUUGGGGGUGUGGCCAGAGAGCUCCAUUACAGAACAGCUGUCAACUGUUCGCCGAAUUCCGCAGUGCUGUAUAUGGAAGUACAGUAGAAUGCUCAUAAGUCGAACAGUUUUUAAGCUUUAAAUAAACGUUUUUACUAUUAUUUUA
Drosophila santomea is the source of this 988-nucleotide long non-coding RNA. RefSeq lists it as uncharacterized. The record is from RefSeq and is a predicted model, not a curated record. The transcript is spliced from 2 exons. Lineage: Eukaryota; Metazoa; Arthropoda; Insecta; Diptera; Drosophilidae.